RNAcentral lists this ribosomal RNA (253 nucleotides) under uncultured bacterium. Its description in RNAcentral is "partial 16S ribosomal RNA". It matches the Rfam family "Bacterial small subunit ribosomal RNA", at positions 524 to 776 of the family's 1533-position model. The record is from RNAcentral.
UACAGAGGGUGCGAGCGUUGUUCGGAAUUACUGGGCGUAAAGCGCACGUAGGCGGAUUUGUAAGUCAGGGGUGAAAUCCCGGGGCUCAACCUCGGAACUGCCUUUGAUACUGCAAAUCUCGAGUCCGGAAGAGGUGAGUGGAAUUCCUAGUGUAGAGGUGAAAUUCGUAGAUAUUAGGAAGAACACCAGUGGCGAAGGCGGCUCACUGGUCCGGUACUGACGCUGAGGUGCGAAAGCAUGGGGAGCGAACAGG